This 360-nucleotide ribosomal RNA is filed under the name Triticum aestivum (bread wheat). Its description in RNAcentral is "partial small subunit ribosomal RNA". Lineage: Eukaryota; Viridiplantae; Streptophyta; Magnoliopsida; Poales; Poaceae. The record is from RNAcentral.
AUGAAGAUGCACGCCGUGUCGCCGCCUAUAGACGUGUCCGUCGCUGUCCUCCUUGCACUCCAACAGCAGGAUCAACUGGCCAACAUGUGCGACGGCGGGCAUGCGCUUGUGUGUUCCCGAGGUCAGGAGCCGAGGAGGACAGUGGCUGCACAUCUACGGUUCUGGCUGGCAAAGCAUGGCUGCACCGUUAUCGAGCACACAGAUGGGCAUGCGUCCACUGCCGGCGCCAGGCGGUGGCCGACACUAGCUUGGCGUGGCAGUUCAUCUGUUGCCCAUGCGUGUCAGGUGAGAGAGGGGGAGUGCAUCCACAAGUGCAGGCUCAACAAGCACCAUGUACCAGCACAACUAUCGUCAUUAUGA